AUUGAACGCUGGCGGCAUGCCUUACACAUGCAAGUCGAACGGCAGCACGGGUGCUUGCACCUGGUGGCGAGUGGCGAACGGGUGAGUAAUACAUCGGAACAUGUCCUGUAGUGGGGGAUAGCCCGGCUAAAGCCGGAUUAAUACCGCAUACGAUCUACGGGUGAAAGCGGGGGACCUUCGGGCCUCGCGCUAUAGGGUUGGCCGAUGGCUGAUUAGCUAGUUGGUGGGGUAAAGGCCUACCAAGGCGACGAUCAGUAGCUGGUCUGAGAGGACGACCAGCCACACUGGGACUGAGACACGGCCCAGACUCCUACGGGAGGCAGCAGUGAGGAAUUUUGGACAAUGGGCGAAAGACUGAUCCAGCAAUGCCGCGUGUGUGAAGAAGGCCUUCGGGUUGUAAAGCACUUUUGUCCGGAAAGAAAUCCUUGGCCCUAAUACGGUCGGGGGAUGACGGUACCGGAAGAAUAAGCACCGGCUAACUACGUG
Molecule: ribosomal RNA, 486 nt
Filed under: uncultured bacterium
Lineage: Bacteria
Description: partial 16S ribosomal RNA
Rfam family: Bacterial small subunit ribosomal RNA
Source: RNAcentral